This 77-nucleotide transfer RNA is filed under the name Chloroflexota bacterium. RNAcentral describes it as "tRNA-Val". It matches the Rfam family "tRNA". Rfam says of the family: Transfer RNA (tRNA) molecules are approximately 80 nucleotides in length. Their secondary structure includes four short double-helical elements and three loops (D, anti-codon, and T loops). Further hydrogen bonds mediate the characteristic L-shaped molecular structure. tRNAs have two regions of fundamental functional importance: the anti-codon, which is responsible for specific mRNA codon recognition, and the 3' end, to which the tRNAs corresponding amino acid is attached (by aminoacyl-tRNA synthetases). tRNAs cope with the degeneracy of the genetic code in two manners: having more than one tRNA (with a specific anti-codon) for a particular amino acid; and 'wobble' base-pairing, i.e. permitting non-standard base-pairing at the 3rd anti-codon position. The record is from RNAcentral. Lineage: Bacteria; Bacillati; Chloroflexota.
GGGCGAUUGGCACAGUUGGUUAGCGCGCUUCCUUCACACGGAAGAGGUCACUGGUUCGAGUCCAGUAUCGCCCACCA